AAUCAACGCUGGCGGCGUGCCUCAGACAUGCAAGUUGAACGAUUAAAGCUCUCUUCGGAGAGUGCAUAAAGUGGCGCACGGGUGAGUAACACGUAAGUAAUCUACCCUCGAGUGGGGAAUAACGUCCGGAAACGGACGCUAAUACCGCAUAACGCAGCGGCACCGCAAGGUGACAGUUGUUAAGGGAGAAAUUCGCUUGAGGAGGAGCUUGCGGCAGAUUAGCUGUUGGUAAGGUAACGGCUUACCAAGGCUACGAUCUGUAACCGGUCUAAGAGGACGGUCGGUCACACUGACACUGAAUAACGGGUCAGACUCCUACGGGAGGCAGCAGUCGGGAAUUUUGGGCAAUGGGGGAAACCCUGACCCAGCAACGCCGCGUGAAGGAUGUAGUAUUUCGGUAUGUAAACUUCGAAAGAAUAGGAAGAAUAAAUGACGGUACUAUUUAUAAGGUCCGGCUAACUACGUGCCAGCAGCCGCCGUAAG
Molecule: ribosomal RNA, 483 nt
Filed under: uncultured bacterium
Lineage: Bacteria
Description: bacterial SSU rRNA
Rfam family: Bacterial small subunit ribosomal RNA
Source: RNAcentral